UGCUUAAACGGCUCAGGCAGGCUCC
This 25-nucleotide non-coding RNA is filed under the name Mus musculus (house mouse). Lineage: Eukaryota; Metazoa; Chordata; Mammalia; Rodentia; Muridae. The record is from RNAcentral.